Long non-coding RNA from Falco peregrinus (peregrine falcon), 7091 nucleotides. RefSeq lists it as uncharacterized. The record is from RefSeq and is a predicted model, not a curated record. Lineage: Eukaryota; Metazoa; Chordata; Aves; Falconiformes; Falconidae. The transcript has 3 exons.
CAGAAAUGGUCACCUGCGUCAUAAGAAACAAUCCUUUACAGUGGGUUGCUUUUUCAACUCUAAAUGUGUUUGCUACUUGAUGAACUUGGCAAUGUAUGGAACAGUCCUGUUAGCCAAGCUUUCUAAGUAAUUAGUAAGCUUAAUGCUUGUUUGCUGUGUGUCUGUUUUAGUUUUGUAAACGGUAGUGGUCCUUAACUAUUUCUGAAAGGGGUUCAGCAGUGAUAAAAAGGCAGCUGAUUCAGGCAGGACAUGUGGGAUGGAGAUGACACCAUUUCUGGGUGUCACUCUGAACAGGACAGUGUGUCUGGAUUCUUGGUUAUGCACUGAAAUGCCAGAGGUGGUGCAAGCCUACCCCAAUUCAUUGCUGCCCCUGAGGAGGGAAACCUGUCACAAUUGCACUCCCUGCUGUUUUCUGUGUCGUCUUUGGAUGCCUGCGCUGAGGGCUGGGGUAGGGGUGGAAAGCAAGCUUCGUAGUGAUGCUUUGGGAGGUAGAUAUGGCUAGCUGUGCUAACGGGCAACUUUGCCAUAAAUCACCGUGGCAGCAGCCCUGCAGUGCCAAUACAUUUACCAACAGAAACCUAUGAAGUAAACUGCAAAUUAGCGCAAUCAACACUUAGGUGCCUUAUUUUGCUUUAGGGAGCUCUUAGUUUUCCAGUUGCUCUGUAAAUAUUAACCCCCACACACAACUUACUGGCUUUAUUGUUUAAUCCAUUCGAUGUACAAAAUCAUCUUUUCUUAGGGAGACCUCACCAGAGAGAAGCCAAGCGAGAAACUGAGGUUAGUUAAUCAGUGAAUGGGGAUGAGCUGAGAAAAAAACACUGCUGUGGAGCUCACAGAAGAAUAUGGAAAGUAUCAAAAGAGGUAUUCAUGAUACUUACUGACAAAUGAAAUAACUAAAAAUAAAAAACCCUUGGUGGAUAUUUAUGUGCAUGAAAGGGUUGAGUUGUAUUUCUGUUCUACAGUUCUCUGAUUUGCGUAUUAAGAUGUACUUGGUACUCAUGAUGGAUUAUGCUUUGUUAAAGGGUAAUUUCAACCAUUUUCUAGUAUUUCAGGCUGUUGUUUGAAAGGCAGCAUUCCACCGAGGGAACAAGACUAAUGCAGUGGGGUUUUAAAUGACCAGCUGAACUACACAUAAACGAGGAGAUGAAAAGAACACAGAGUACACAACCUUUUGUCUGGGAAUUAGUCAUCUAAACAAUUUUUGGAUCAAUAUAGCAAACAAAAUCAGGAGCCAUUCGACAACACUUUUCAUAAGAAGAAACCAUUGUAACCAGCAGUGCCAAGCAACACUCAGCCUGACCUUCAUACACAGGUCAUCUGGACCUGCUCUGGAAAUACAAGAUAUGCUGUAGUUGCAAAUGCCUAUUUACCAGAAAAAGCAAUGAAAGAAAGGAGAAAAUGCUGUCAGAAUACUCUCAUCUGUGACUGAGUCCUGGCGGCCGGGUGCUCCUGGUGCCUCCAUGCUGCUGUUGAUUUCAGACAUGCGAGACUGGGUACAUCAGUCUGCCUGUACUUGGCAGAAUGACGCUGCACUUGGAGCAAGCUGGCUGGAAGUAGUAGGAUAUUAGUGUUGCUUAAGGGUUGAGCCUGUCCUCAUAUAUACAAGUUGCAGUAAUGGAAUCUGACCUUUUUAUGACACCCUUGAUAGAAAAUGCCAUCAUGUAUUAAUAGCUGGUAUUAAAUAAAGUGUCAUCAGUGAAUGAAAGGGCAACCAUUGCCCAUUAGGUACUACACCAGCAUCGCCUUGACUGGGCUCUGACAUCUCUUAGGCGGACAAUGAAAGCUCUAAUUUAAAAUACUGUCUUGAGAGGAAAAGAUAUUAACGCUUGGAGCUUGCAUUAAUGUUACCCGAUUCUGUUCCAAAGGUUUUUCUUCAUUGUCUUUGUGCCUCAGUCAGUCCUGCCUGGUUGUAGGCCAAGACUGACAUGCACAUACUGAAAAGCUGCGUGGCAGCCUCCGCUACUUUUUAAUUUUCUUUACACUGGAAUGUGAGUACAGGGAAGGUAUGAAGGUGAGAGCUAAAAAGUCUCAAAAACUCUGGCCAGGAUGUCAAAGACCAGUGGGUAUUUUGGCUGCUAAUUUUCUUGGUCAGACUUCCAAGUCUUGAUUAUUUUUAAAGAAUUUUCAUCUUCCACGUUAUAUCUGGACAUUAUCUGUUAGCAACUUUUUUUGUGAGAUUUUUGCUUUGUCUACAUUCCUUGCUUGAUAGUCCAUAGGAGACUAUAUAUGUCUUUUUCAUACACACACACACUGCCAUUCACUCUGUCCCUGUGUAGUACAGUAAAUCCAUUAAUAGAUACAACAGUAUAAUAGAAUAAGAUAAAGAUUAAAGGCUUAAAGGAGCCAGAGGAGAACGCUCCCGAAAUGAAAUGUCCACUUGGUUUUGUGCAAGUCAAUGGAACAGUUGCAUGGGAGUACAGAAUGCAGAGACCUUUACGUGAUUUUCUUGAUUAUAUAAUACCAAUAAGGUUAUAGACAUAUAUUUAGAGAGAGUUAGCCUCAAGUUUCUCGGUGAUAUAAAAGAAAUAAAAUACAUCCCUACUACAGCUGCACUAAAACUGUCUGAGAAUAAUAAUUAUUUUAGCUCAUUAAAGGCCUUAAACCUUCAGGUCCUGACAAUUCUGAUCUUAACGCCCAGUGUUCUUAGGUAAUGGGCAUUGCCUGACUGCGUAUUACGUAUGGGUGCGGAGACGUGCUGCGUCCCAGGCAGGGUGUUUGGCAUGUCUGAUGGCUGAUGGGAGCUUGGCUUUGGAAGCAGAACUGGUUACAGCUAGGACAGGCUGGGAGGCUGGCACCCAAACCGCACCCAGAUCUCUGCACACUGCGUGGUGAGCUUUGACCUGGUGCUGCUUUACUUCCCUGCUAAGAAAGCGGAGGUUUUUUAGAUACCUUCUCUGUCUCUGGUCUUCUAGUGCUGCUUGCAAGUGCUGUAGCAACAGAAACGCUUGCUAAUGAGAGGGUCAGUUGCUGCUGCUGCAAGCACACCUCCUUGCACCCCUGCAUGCAGGAGUGCCUGCUGCGCCCCUGAAGACUCGCUGUUGUGUUCUCUGCUGCUGCUUACAGAAGGGAAAAUGCAGGCGUGGGGGUUGGAAGCCUUGCUUGGUACUAGUUUUCUUCUGUUAUUUUUUGGCUUACUGGCUUGUACCCAACAGCUAUCGACUGUUGGGAACAAGGACUUUUGCCUUCAAUGAAAUAUCACAGAUUUCGAACACAAUAGAUGCUUUAUGGUUAAAAUGGGCUGUGCCAUAAAAUUAAGGAGAAAGAAGGCAAUUUCAUAGGUAAGUGAAGGUGGCUUCCUUCAAUGUUUUUUGGUAUGCCAUGCAAGAUAGAAGAUACCUUCUGGUUGACUUCUUUGGUAUGUAAAAUGACUGUCUUGUGAUGUGGAUGAUGUCAGCAGACCUGCUUGUCUCCUUUUGGAUAAUUUGUUUCUGAUAUGGUUCUUACAAAACAUGUACCCUUAUACAAAAGUCUUGUAGAGUUCAGGUGCUGUAGGAGUGGCUUUACCUAAAGAAUUGAGCAAUGAGAAGUUGUUUUCCCUUCUAAGUUUUUUUUUCAUUGCUAGUGAGGGGUCUGUGUGAGGAAGAGGUCUCAAAGAAUUUGUAGAAUACUUCAGAAAAUUAUCACUUUUUGUUAUGCUCAUACAGGUGAUAGUUCUAAGAUAUACUUUUACCCCCUCAAAAUCUGAAUUUUGUAUUUCACAGUUCCGUCAACCUAAACCUGCUAAUCCUCUAAUCACCUGAAAUUAGCUCGAAAGGUCUUGUUUCUCUACCAAGCUCUUUUGAUGCUUUUAAAGAGCACUGUUACAAGAGUACACAAAGCACUCCUAUUUGAAAGACUGGGUGGGAAAACACAUUUUCCCUACAAGCAUCAAUUUUAACCAGAAGACUGUCAGAACUGAACUGCCCUCUUAGGCAAGAUUUAUGUUAGUCUCUCACUGAACGAGCAGGUGAAACAGAAUAGUGUUGUACUGAAGAACAACGACUAUUAUAUAGCUAAAUGUUUCCCUGGGCCUGCAGGCUGAGACCACUGUCUGGAGGUGAAAACAAAAUAUAUUACUUUUAUGACUGUGGGCAAAAAACCCUGAAUUUUUUUCUGUUUCUGUUUUCCCCAUUGUUCAUAAUACACAGAAAAUCAAGUGUCUGCUAUGAUUCAGUCUCGUUUGUGCAUUUUCUGCACAUUAUUUCCUGUUACUUAGAUUUUUAUAUUUUUUUCAAAUACUGUGAAUCAACGCAAGGUUAUAUUUACUCUGUUUUGAUGUGAUGAUGCCUCCAUGUUACAAGAUAUGAACCUGUCUUGUCAUAGAGAAAUGGUUAUGGACAGACUAGCUGAAGUCUCUUGGAGCACAGUGAUAGCUAAAGGUCUUGUGAACUGUAAAUCCAUUUGUCUAGUAGGUAGUGCAUGCAGAGCGUGGGAUCAGAUACCUGGAUUUGGGGCUUCUUUUUGAGGAACUGAAGGCUCAAGGAACUGAAGGCUGAAGAAGACUGUGAGGCAGAGUGAAUUGGGAAGAGGCGAGCUCCGGACAGCUUCAGCUGACAAGGGCUGUAGGAUCCCUACUCACAUCUCACUAUGCCAUCCUGGGAGUAUGCUCCGGUUAACCCAGGAUUGCGCUGCUUGCUUUAGUGGAGAACGACAACUGCCUUCUCUGCCUUUCUCACCAAGCAGGAUGCACCUAGCUGAGGGGUUACUGUGGUAAAGGAGUUUGAUCAUCUGGGAAUCAUCAACAUCUAGGAUCCCCAGAGUGAAUACAAUACAAAAAUACGCUGGAGGAAAUUUUGGUUGCCGGAAUGCAAAAGGUUAAGUUGCUCGGGCUGAACUCUGCAGGGUUCAUGAUGGGGGAAGGAGAUCCCUCCCAUGGCAAAGUGGGAUGAUGUACUUUGGGACAAGUCCUUUUAGUGGCGGCAGAUGUUAGAGAAGAUGGAGCUGUUAACGAAGUCCCAUACUAAAAGUCUGGUCUCAGAAUCUGGUUUUCAUGAAAUUAUCUUUAUCAAUCUGUUCCUUUUUAUGUUAAGAACCAAGAAGAGGGAUGGUGUGUUACUCUGCCAGAUUCUCUGGGCAGAGGAAAAAGAUUUGGCUGACCCCUUACACGUUUUAGGAGGAAAGCCAGGGAAGACCUCUCUUCCAGGCUUUUUAUCAUCAGGUAACUUUAACUGUAAAAUCACAUCUAAGACCAUCCAAAACAGACUCAAACCAGCAGAUUCCACCUAACUGCAUUUUUUUUUUCUACAGGUGCAAGCAGAAAUGCUAGAUUUAAGUUGGCUUCUGAUUUCACAGAAUGCCACUGACUGUAUGACAAACUCUACAGAAAUAGCUGUAAAACGGAUUCCUACCAACGGGCUAUGUGGCCGCUGCAGCCCCUGAAGCACAGCCCCUGCAGUGCUCUUUGAAACUUCAAAUGUCCAUUUUUAAAUGCAUACCCUGAAAUACGGGUCCUCUACCUCGAUGUACAGAAAUGGGAGAUAGAAGAAGAGGCUGCAAAUAGUAUUUGUAUGCAAAACACUUAGUGCCGGCAGAGCUCGUGAUAGAGCACUGAGCAGAUUAACAAUUAGCUCUGGCUGUGCGUAUCGUGGAUGUAAAGCAAGAUGACCUAAUACCGAGAUCAAAAUACUUAACCAGCCCAUGGCAUUAGUCCCAUUACUUUCUUGCCUGCUAGAAAAUAUCAGAAUAAAUGCUUGCCUGCUUCUAGUGAGUCUGGAAGAUGUAACAAGUUUGAGCAAUAUGAGAUGUCAGGUGUGCAUGCUCCUGAGCUGAGGUAUUCCAGCCUUGGCUCCCCAAAGUCCUUGCUGAACUCCACAAGCUCAGGUGGGAUCUGGGGAGCUGCUGGUUCCUAAAGUAGAUUCCUAUGGUGGCUUUGUAAAUCAGUUUUGAGGUGAACUGCCACCAAAACAUUAUAUCAGAUACAGAGCACAGUUGUAAUUUGCUAGUGCCAGGAAUUUUAUUUUAUCCAGGGAUCACUGCCAAGUAAGCAGCCAGAUGAAUUUUUCUCCCACUGGAUUCCUAAGAUCUAGAUCCACAAAAACAGGUAGAUUCCCGAUUCUCCUUGACUCCAGUAGAGAUUGGGCACCUAGACCUAAUUCUGGUGACCUGAGCCAAAGAACCUUCUGCUGCCAGCUCUGCAAAGGGCACGUGGAAACCUUGCCUUUGUUAUUUGUCGUUGGGGGAAUUUGGGGACUUUUGGUACUUUCAAUGCCCAGUAGAUAGUCUCACAGUUCCUUCUAAACCGUGCUCAGCGUGUGUGUUGUACGGCUGCCGGUGACUGUGGUUGAACAGGCUCUGCCAUUCAGGAAGAGCUGAGAGUGCCUUUCACCCUGCAUCGUUACAAUAUACAGUGUCAUCUGUGUCUGCGGCCGCUGACUCGGAGGGGAAUGGCCAGAACUACAGUUCCUGAGGGACUCUAGAAGCCAGUGAGUUUCUAAUUCUCUCUCACUCUCGGAAGUGUUAGUCACCAGUGGGGCAGCGUAGCAGCACCUGGGUGCGCGUGAGCUAAUGAUGGCUGGUGGCAAGCUAUGUGUAUAAAUACUGUAUGAGUCUAGGUGUAACAAAGCCGUGUCCAAUGCUAGGCAGAAAUACUGAAUUCUCCUUAUUUAUUUUGGAGGAAUAGUCCUGCAGUUAUGAAGAUGAGCUGCAUAUUAUUUUAAAGUCAUCUUUGUGUGUGGAAACUUUUGUGCUAGCUUUCAUGAGAAGCUUAGAAAGGUUUCUGCACAGAGAGGCUACUGCCUGUGUUCUGGUGGAUGACCCCAAAAUGAGGCAAAAUCCACACCAAAAUAUUUCAAAGAAUAUAAUUUUGUACUAAGAUCCAUGCCCUGAGAAGACAACUACUGGAGCUGUUUGCAUUAUACUUUUUUGCAGGGGAGGGAGGGGAGAGGAAUUCCAGACAUUGUAAAUAAAGUGUAACAACUAUAGGGAAGGGAAGAUGUGGAUGAUACUGUGCUAAACGCUAAAUCUAGGCUUUAUUGAGGCAGCUACCUCUGCUUUGGUGCUGGAAGGCUGGACAGGAAAACGGUGGGAUAAAAGAUGCUCCUUCCACUUGUAAAGCUUCCAUCCUGGGAGAGCUGUGGCGGAGCGCUGGAACGGCCGCUCAGCCCCAUGUCCGU